UUCCGUAGGUGAACCUGCGGAAGGAUCAUUAAUGAAACUUCAAGUCGGCUGUUCUGUGCUGGUGGCAACACAUGUGCACGCUCAGUCGCAAUCCACACACCUGUGCACUUUGACUCUGAGCACCGCCAGUCAUAUGGCAGAAGGUUGUAAGGCUUUUAUGGUCUGAACCUGGUGCUCGAGUACUUUUACACACUCAGAAUGUAAUGGAAUGUCACUGUACAAUGUACAACUAUAAACAACUUUCAACAACGGAUCUCUUGGCUCUCGCAUCGAUGAAGAACGCAGCGAAAUGCGAUAAGUAAUGUGAAUUGCAGAAUUCAGUGAAUCAUCGAAUCUUUGAACGCACCUUGCACCCUUUGGUAUUCCGAAGGGUACACCCGUUUGAGUGUCAUUGUAAUCUCACWUCAACCACUUUUGUGAUGUUGAAUGUGGACUUGGAUGUUGCCGUGUCCAACGGCUCAUCUGAAAUGCUUGAGUGUACCCUGCUUUGCAGCGUAUCAGUGUGAUAAACAUCUUCACUGUUAAGUCUCUAGGGACACGCUWGUGUUGCAGGCUCUAUGCUUCCAACCGUCUCAGGACAAUCUCUGACAAUUUGACCUCAAAUCGGGUGGGACUACCCGCUGAACUUAAGCAUAUCAAUAAGCGGAGGAAAAGAAACUAACAAGGAUUCCCCUAGUAACGGCGAGUGAAGAGGGAAAAGCUCAAAUUUUGAAUCUGGUGUCUUUGACUCCCGAGUUGUAAUCUAGAGAAGUGUUUUCUGCGUUGGACCGUGCAAAAGUUCCCUGGAACGGGGCGUCAUAGAGGGUGAGAAUCCCGUAUAUGGCACGGACUCCCAUUGCUAUGUGAUACACUCUCAACGAGUCGAGUUGUUUGGGAAUGCAGCUCAAAAUGGGUGGUAAAUUCCAUCUAAAGCUAAAUAUUGGCGAGAGACCGAUAGCGAACAAGUACCGUGAGGGAAAGAUGAAAAGCACUUUGGAAAGAGAGUGAAACAGUACGUGAAAUUGUUGAAAGGGAAGCGUUUGAAGUCAGUCACAUCUGUCGGAAUUCAGCCUGGCUUCUGCCUGGUGUAUUUUCUGGCUGAUGGGUCAGCAUCAAUUUCGACCGAGGGAAAAAGACUUGGGGAAUGUGGCUGUCUUCGGGCAGUGUUAUAGCCCUUUG
RNAcentral lists this ribosomal RNA (1158 nucleotides) under uncultured Sebacina. Its description in RNAcentral is "eukaryotic LSU rRNA". The stretch from base 594 to 1158 matches the Rfam family "Eukaryotic large subunit ribosomal RNA", at positions 1 to 568 of the family's 3401-position model. The record is from RNAcentral. Lineage: Eukaryota; Fungi; Basidiomycota; Agaricomycetes; Sebacinales; Sebacinaceae.